RNAcentral lists this ribosomal RNA (433 nucleotides) under uncultured bacterium. Its description in RNAcentral is "partial 16S ribosomal RNA". It matches the Rfam family "Bacterial small subunit ribosomal RNA", at positions 29 to 507 of the family's 1533-position model. The record is from RNAcentral.
AACGAACGCUGGCGGCAUGCCUAACACAUGCAAGUCGAACGAGACCUUCGGGUCUAGUGGCGCACGGGUGCGUAAGGCGUGGGAACCUGCCCUUAGGUUCGGAAUAACUCCCCGAAAGGGGUGCUAAUACCGGAUAAUGUCUUCGGACCAAAGAUUUAUCGCCUUUGGAUGGGCCCGCGUUGGAUUAGCUAGUUGGUAGGGUAAAAGCCUACCAAGGCGACGAUCCAUAGCUGGUCUGAGAGGAUGAUCAGCCACACUGGGACUGAGACACGGCCCAGACUCCUACGGGAGGCAGCAGUGGGGAAUAUUGGACAAUGGGCGAAAGCCUGAUCCAGCAAUGCCGCGUGAGUGAUGAAGGCCUUAGGGUUGUAAAGCUCUUUUACCCGGGAUGAUAAUGACAGUACCGGGAGAAUAAGCUCCGGCUAACUCCGUG